ACGGAGGGGGCUAGCGUUGUUCGGAAUUACUGGGCGUAAAGCGCACGUAGGCGGAUCAGUCAGUCAGGGGUGAAAUCCCGGGGCUCAACCCCGGAACUGCCUUUGAUACUGCUGGUCUUGAGGUCGAGAGAGGUGAGUGGAAUUCCGAGUGUAGAGGUGAAAUUCGUAGAUAUUCGGAAGAACACCAGUGGCGAAGGCGACUCACUGGACACGUAUUGACGCUGAGGUGCGAAAGCGUGGGGAGCAAACAGGA
RNAcentral lists this ribosomal RNA (253 nucleotides) under uncultured prokaryote. Its description in RNAcentral is "partial 16S ribosomal RNA". It matches the Rfam family "Bacterial small subunit ribosomal RNA", at positions 525 to 777 of the family's 1533-position model. The record is from RNAcentral.